Molecule: ribosomal RNA, 412 nt
Filed under: bacterium enrichment culture clone ALO1_GLFRUDD03FXIAR
Lineage: Bacteria
Description: bacterial SSU rRNA
Rfam family: Bacterial small subunit ribosomal RNA
Source: RNAcentral
GAGUUUGAUCGUGGCUCAGAUUGAACGCUGGCGGCAUGCCUUACACAUGCAAGUCGAACGGCAGCACGGGAGCUUGCUCCUGGUGGCGAGUGGCGAACGGGUGAGUAAUGCAUCGGAACGUAUCCUGGAGUGGGGGGAUAACGUAGCGAAAGUUACGCUAAUACCGCAUAUUCUGUGAGCAGGAAAGCGGGGGACCUUCGGGCCUCGCGCUCUUGGAGCGGCCGAUGUCGGAUUAGCUAGUUGGUGAGGUAAAGGCUCACCAAGGCGACGAUCCGUAGCAGGUCUGAGAGGAUGAUCUGCCACACUGGAACUGAGACACGGUCCAGACUCCUACGGGAGGCAGCAGUGGGGAAUUUUGGACAAUGGGGGCAACCCUGAUCCAGCCAUGCCGCGUGAGUGAAGAAGGCCUCGG